GAUGAAGAACGUAGCGAAAUGCGAUAAGUAGUGUGAAUUGCAGAAUUCAGUGAAUCAUCGAAUCUUUGAACGCACAUUGCGCCCCUUGGUAUUCCAUGGGGCAUGCCUGUUCGAGCGUCAUUUGUACCUUCAAGCUUUGCUUGGUGUUGGGUGUUUGUCUCGCCUUUGCGUGUAGACUCGCCUUAAAAUAAUUGGCAGCCGGCGUAUUGAUUUCGGAGCGCAGUACAUCUCGCGCUUUGCACUCAUAACGACAGCGUCCAAAAGUACAUUUUACACUCUUGACCUCGGAUCAGGUAGGGAUACCCGCUGACUUAAGCAUAUCAAUAAGCGGAGGA
Molecule: unclassified non-coding RNA, 335 nt
Filed under: soil metagenome
Description: partial contains 5.8S ribosomal RNA, internal transcribed spacer 2, and large subunit ribosomal RNA
Rfam family: 5.8S ribosomal RNA (bases 1-120)
Source: RNAcentral